Octodon degus (degu) is the source of this 1475-nucleotide RNA transcript. It is a transcript of the gene named heat shock cognate 71 kDa protein-like, with no coding region annotated. NCBI's taxonomy places the organism in Eukaryota, Metazoa, Chordata, Mammalia, Rodentia, Octodontidae. The record is from RefSeq and is a predicted model, not a curated record. The transcript has 2 exons.
AUGUUGAAGGGACCUGCAGUUGGCAUUGAUCUUGAAACUAUCUACUCCUAUGUAGUUGUCUUCCAGCAUGGAAAACUGGAGAUAAAUGCUAAUGAUCAGGAAAAUCAAACCACUCCAAGCUACGACACUUUCACUGAUGCCGACCAACUGAUUAAAGAUGCUGCAAAAAAUCAAGUGGCUAUGAACCCCACCAACACAGUUUUUGAUGCCAAGUGUCUAAUUGGAUGUAGGCUUGAUGAUGCUGUUGUCCAGACUGAUAUGAAGCACUGGCCCUUCAUGAUGGUGAAUGAGGCAGGCAGGCCCAAGUUUUAAGUAGAAUACAAAGGAGAGACAAAGAGCGUCUACAGAGCAGGUGUCUUCUAUAGUGCUGACAAAGAUGAAGAGAUAGCAGAAGUUUAUAUAGGGAAGACUGUUACCAAUGCUGUGGUCACUGUGCCAGCUUACUUUCAUGACUCUCAGUUUCAGGCAACCAAAGAUGUUGGAACUAUUGCUGGUCUUAAUGUACUUAGAAUUAUCAACGAACCAACAGAUGAAGCUAUUGCUUAUGGCUGAGACAAAAAAGUUGGAGCUGAAAGAAAUGAGCUGAUUUUUUUAUUUAGGAGGUGGCACUUUUGAUGUGUCAAUCCUCACUAUUGAAGAUUGAAUCUUUGAAGUGAAAUCUGCAUUUGGAGACACCUACUUAGGUGGGGAAGAUUUUGACAACCUAAUUCUCAAUCAUUUUAUUGCUGAAUUAAGUGCAAACAUAAGGUCGUCAGUGAGAACAAAAGAGCUGUCCACUGUCUUCGUACUGUAUGUGAGUGAACUAAGAGAAUCCUCUCUUCUAGCACCCAAGCCAGUAUUGAGAUUGAUUCCCUCUAAGAAGGAAUCAACUUCUACACCUCCAUUACUCAUGCCCGAUUGGAAGAGUUGAAUGCUGACCUGUUCCGUGGUACUAUGUACCCUGUGGAGAAGGCUCUUUGAGAUGCUAAACUGGACAAGUCUCAGAUCCAUGACAUUGUCCUGGUGAGUGAUUCUACCUGUAUCCCCCAAAUCCAGAAGCUUCUUCAGGACUUCUUUAAUGGAAAAGAAUUGAAUAAGAGGAUCAACCUUGGUGAGGCUGUUCUCAUGGGGCAGCUGCUCAGGCAGCCAUUUUAUCUGGAGACAAGUCUGAAAAUGUCCAAGAUUUGUUGCUGUUGGAUGUCACUCAUCUUUCCCUUGGUAUUGAAACUGCUGGUGGCAUCAUGACAGUCCUCAUCAAGUGCAAUAUCAGCAUUCUUACCAAGCAGACCCGUACCUUCACUACCUACUCUGACAACCAGCCUGGUAUGUUCAUUCAGGUAUAUGAAAGUGAGCGUGCCAUGACCAAGGAUAACAACCUGCUUAGCAAGUUUGAACUCACAGUCAUACCUCCUAGGAAUGCCUGGGGCUUCCCUGGUGGAGGAGCUCCUCCCCCUGGUGGUGUCUCCUUGAAACCCACCACAGAAGAGGUUGAUUAA